RNAcentral lists this ribosomal RNA (119 nucleotides) under Salmo salar (Atlantic salmon). The record is from RNAcentral. Lineage: Eukaryota; Metazoa; Chordata; Actinopteri; Salmoniformes; Salmonidae.
GCUUACGGCCAUAUCAGCCUGGGUAUGCCCGAUCUCGUCUGAUCUCGGAAGCUAAGCAGGGUCGGGCCUGGUUAGUACUUGGAUGGGAGACCGCCUCGGAAUACCAGGUGCUGUAAGCA